CACACACAAACACACCAACAGGGCUUUGCUUCUCUCUCGUGUCCAGUCACCGGCGAUUCGAGCCAGAAUAAUUCCGGUCGGUGCCGGUUGUAAACCAGACAAACAGACGCACUCACCCAUACCCUGUUACUCUCUCCCUCUCCCUCUCAUCGUACUGGCAGCCGGAGCCACUACCGGCGACGGUUUCUCCGACACGCAACCCCCACUCUUGGAUCUUUCUGAUUUCCUUCACACACAACUCAACAUAGCCUACACCCCUCAACUCACUGAAGAACCGGUGAUUACCGGCUGACUGUUCACGACAACGGAACCAGAACCGCCGCUCGCGGCGGCGCACGACGACGGAACGAGAGAGACAGAAGGAGAGAGAGAACCGGUGGUGGUGGUGAGCGGCGGUCGGCGUCUCGGUCCGACGGUCCUUGUCAUUAUCCGAUGGGUUUCUGUUCGGAAGUCUCGGUUCGGGUUCGGGUUUGGUUUGGUUUCGGUUCGUUCAGGGAUGGUCAGACUCCAACGGUUUGUUUUGAUGCAGGUUGGGUGUCGAUGAGCUCACAUCAGACCUGGUCACUUUUGACGAGUUUGUUAAACUCAGUUCUGGUUAGAGCUUAUGUUGGUUCAAGUUAGAUCUAGUUGGGUUCGGGUCUCGGUUCAUUCGAGUUCAGUCAAACCCAGUCAACAUGUCGGGUUGACUGGUCAAAGCAAGUCAACUGGUUAAGUUAACAGAUUCGGUCAGACGGCUUGGUUCGGUCAGACGGCUCGGUUCGGUCAGACGGCUCGGUUCAGUUGACUCGGUCAAACCGGGUCAACUCGGUCAAACCUGGUCAACUCGGUUGACUCAGUUAACUCAGUCAACCCUUUUCAGCUUUUCGACACGAGAAUCUUGGUAAUGGAUUAAAGAAGAGAUUUCGUUA
Molecule: long non-coding RNA, 908 nt
Organism: Helianthus annuus (common sunflower)
Lineage: Eukaryota; Viridiplantae; Streptophyta; Magnoliopsida; Asterales; Asteraceae
Exons: 2
Source: RefSeq, a predicted model, not a curated record